This is a long non-coding RNA of Alosa sapidissima (American shad), 1071 nucleotides long. RefSeq lists it as uncharacterized. Lineage: Eukaryota; Metazoa; Chordata; Actinopteri; Clupeiformes; Clupeidae. The transcript has 3 exons. The record is from RefSeq and is a predicted model, not a curated record.
AAGGCUAGGGGGUCACCUGAUUCAUUCACCUGACGUGUCAUUCACGUGACCUGUUGUAGCAGGUAGAUAGCUACCGGGUUGCAGGCCCUUUGUUAAAAUUGAAUGGCGCGGCAAACACAGUGGUGAGGGCACUGUUUUUGCGUGUGGAUUUUUGGCCGGCGGUGAUUUAACAGAGCGGUACACUGCAGUCAUCCUGCCCGUUUGCUCCCCUGGGCUUUUGUGCAACAUUAUCUGCAGUUCGCUUGGAUUUGUUGGUUCCGAGCAAGAGGUCAGCCGACUAAAUGCGUGCAGUUGCGGGGGAUUUUAAAGAGGAACGACCUGUAGCCACUGUUUUUCCCACCACCAUUGAUUGUGUAGCCUAUCAUGUAUUGUGAUGCCUUACCUAAACCGACGAUAUAGUGGUAGCUCGUUUGUAUAGGUAUCCUAGCUCAUAUCGAUAGUACAUCCAUACUGGUAUCUUAUUUGAUCUAAACCUAUUGAUAGUCCAUCCACAUUGGUAGCUUGCAGUCCUAUUGAUAGCCCACCCACACUGAUAGCUGUCGGUGAUCCAACCCUAGUCCAUUCAUACUGGUAGCGUGUUUGAUUUAAAGCUAGCUCAUUCAUACUGGUAGCGUACUUGAUCUAAACCUAUUGAUAGCCCAUUCAUACUGGUAGCGUGCAGCCAUAUUAAUAGCUUAUCCACACGGGUAGUUUGCUUGGUGUCUUAAGCUAGAGUAGCAGCGGUCAUACUGGAGCUGUGGCAUUAGGCCUAUUUACGUAUGUGCGUACUUUGUGUGUGAAACCACCUCCAAGUUGUGUUUGUUUUCUUUAUAUUUUGGUGGUGAGGCUUAUUCUUUUCUUUGUUUUCUUUUUCAUCCUUGCCAUGAUUACUGUGUGUGUGCCCUAUUUGGGGGUUGAAAUAUUUGCUUGAAGAUUAUGAUUUCAAUGGUUUGCAUUUGUUUUGUAGUGGGUACCCCAUACUGAAUACGGCUUAAAUACUACAACAGUAUUGAUUAGAGUACAUCUAUCUAUUCAUCCAGCUUUUAUACCAUGACAAACUACGUCUAAAAAUAAAAGUGUUUUAUUUUUGUA